Molecule: ribosomal RNA, 407 nt
Filed under: uncultured bacterium
Lineage: Bacteria
Description: partial 16S ribosomal RNA
Rfam family: Bacterial small subunit ribosomal RNA
Source: RNAcentral
AUUGAACGCUGGCGGCAGGCCUAACACAUGCAAGUCGAGCGGAGCGGCGGACGGGCGAGUAAUGCCUAGGAGUCUGCCUGGUAGAGGGGGAUAACGACCGGCAACGGGCGCUAAUACCGCAUACUAUCAGAUGAGCGUAGGCCGGAUUAGCUAGUUGGUGGGGUAAAGGCCUACGAAGGCAACGAUCCGUCACUGGUCUGAGAGGAUGAUCAGUCACACUGGAACUGAGACACGGGCCAGACUCCUACGGGAGGCAGCAGUGGGGAAUAUUGGACAAUGGGCGAAAGCCUGAUCCAGCCAUGCCGCGUGUGUGAAGAAGGUCGUCGGAUUGUAAAGUACUUUAAGUUGGGAGGCGUUACCAACAGAAUAAGCACCGGCUAACUCCGUGCCAGCCGCCGCGGUAAUUC